GCUUGCUACUUUGCCGGCGAGCGGCGGACGGGUGAGUAAUGUCUGGGAAACUGCCUGAUGGAGGGGGAUAACUACUGGAAACGGUAGCUAAUACCGCAUAACGUCGCAAGACCAAAGAGGGGGACCUUCGGGCCUCUUGCCAUCAGAUGUGCCCAGAUGGGAUUAGCUAGUAGGUGGGGUAACGGCUCACCUAGGCGACGAUCCCUAGCUGGUCUGAGAGGAUGACCAGCCACACUGGAACUGAGACACGGUCCAGACUCCUACGGGAGGCAGCAGUGGGGAAUAUUGCACAAUGGGCGCAAGCCUGAUGCAGCCAUGCCGCGUGUAUGAAGAAGGCCUUCGGGUUGUAAAGUACUUUCAGCGGGGAGGAAGGCGAUAAGGUUAAUAACCUUGUCGAUUGACGUUACCCGCAGAAGAAGCACCGGCUAACUCCGUGCCAGCAGCCGCGGUAAUACGGAGGGUGCAAGCGUUAAUCGGAAUUACUGGGCGUAAAGCGCACGCAGGCGGUCUGUCAAGUCGGAUGUGAAAUCCCCGGGCUCAACCUGGGAACUGCAUUCGAAACUGGCAGGCUAGAGUCUUGUAGAGGGGGGUAGAAUUCCAGGUGUAGCGGUGAAAUGCGUAGAGAUCUGGAGGAAUACCGGUGGCGAAGGCGGCCCCCUGGACAAAGACUGACGCUCAGGUGCGAAAGCGUGGGGAGCAAACAGGAU
RNAcentral lists this ribosomal RNA (707 nucleotides) under Enterobacter sp. MZ_5. RNAcentral's name for it is "bacterial SSU rRNA". It matches the Rfam family "Bacterial small subunit ribosomal RNA", at positions 72 to 778 of the family's 1533-position model. The record is from RNAcentral. Lineage: Bacteria; Pseudomonadati; Pseudomonadota; Gammaproteobacteria; Enterobacterales; Enterobacteriaceae.